This 912-nucleotide long non-coding RNA is filed under the name Astyanax mexicanus (Mexican tetra). RNAcentral's name for it is "lncRNA (ENSAMXG00005017953.1)". Lineage: Eukaryota; Metazoa; Chordata; Actinopteri; Characiformes; Acestrorhamphidae. The record is from RNAcentral.
CUGAAGUUCAGUUCACUUAUUUACUCUGUGUAACAUUUAAGUCCUGAAACCGAGUUGAAGUUACUUAAAUUUACAUGACCUUUUGGUCAAAGCCCAGGUCACCUGACUGCUAGUGGAAGAAGCUAGCUAGCUAGCUGGUGGUGGUUGUCGCGGUUACCACAGGAGGGAGGCCACUGGCUGUGACAUCACACUGUGACAUCACACCACGCAGUCAAAAAGCAAGAGUUCCAAAAGCAACAGUUACACUCAGGAGCAGGAUCUCCUGAGUAAAGAAGGCUGGUUUCUGAUUUUAUUCAGAACAACUUCUUGCUAGAAAUGGCAGCGAUGAACCAGAGGCCAAUUCAGCGUCGAUUUAAACUGAACAGAGACAGCUGGAUCAACAUCCUCCAGCCCGGGCAGAACCAACGUCCUCCUAGUUCUGCGAAUAGGAAGGUGUUAGAGAAGACAACAGGGAGACUUGAGAUCACUAUAAAACGAUCCACCAGGAAGUGGAAGAGCACUGACUCUGAUAAAGAGACAGCACCACCGAAGAAACCUGAGAUCAGUCUGAACAAAGAGUCCUUCGGUGGUGGUCCUGUAAAAAGAACAGUGCUCGUGGUGUGUCCUGUUGCUCCGACUGAGAGACGUGGCUGCAAGCGUCGCCGUAGGCCGAACACAAACGGCCAUCCAUGUCCUGCUAAACAAGCUCGACAUGGACAAGCGGAGCGUCCUUCAUUAACUGGAGAAGACAUAAAGAUUAUUGAUCAACUGUGCAGAUGCUUUUCACUGCUAAGGGUUACUGGAUAAUCAUUCGGGGCUGUUCCCCCCGGAUGCCCAGGCCAGGCGACGCCCCUGAUCUGCACAGCAGUGAACAUCAUCACAACACAACUACCUCAGAAUUAAACAUGCUGGCUAUGAAUUUUACUUUCCUCC